RNAcentral lists this long non-coding RNA (289 nucleotides) under Gossypium barbadense (sea-island cotton). Its description in RNAcentral is "long non-coding RNA (GBAR_LNC005495)". Lineage: Eukaryota; Viridiplantae; Streptophyta; Magnoliopsida; Malvales; Malvaceae. The record is from RNAcentral.
GAAUCCCUACGUGUGUAAAGGGGAUAAUUUUUGCUAUCAGUGCUUGCAGGAAUUCGAGUUAGUAUGGGUUCUGAGUAGCUAGGUGUAGUGGGGAGUCACGGGGAGAGAUUUUAGGAGAUGUGGGGAAUCAUCCAAAAAUCUGAUUUCUUAUUUUCAAUUUUGUAUUUCAAAAUCCCCAAAUUCUUCCCCUUCUUUCUUCUAACGUCAAUUCACUACUCCUCUGCCGAAAUUCUGCUCAAUUUGCCUCUGUUGAUCUUGGUUUUAUUUUCUUCCCCAUCACUUCUUUUUC